RNAcentral lists this ribosomal RNA (662 nucleotides) under uncultured bacterium. RNAcentral's name for it is "bacterial SSU rRNA". It matches the Rfam family "Bacterial small subunit ribosomal RNA", at positions 77 to 775 of the family's 1533-position model. The record is from RNAcentral.
AGCUUGCUAAUAAUUCUCUAGUGGCGCACGGGUGAGUAACACGUGAGUACCUGCCCCCAAGAGUGGGAUAGCCCCGGGAAACUGGGAUUAAUACCGCAUAAAGCAAUAAAGCAGCAAUGCGCUUGGGGAUGGGCUCGCGUCCUAUUAGUUAGUUGGUGAGGUAACGGCUCACCAAGGCGAUGACGGGUAGCCGGUCUGAGAGGAUGUCCGGCCACACUGGAACUGAGACACGGUCCAGACACCUACGGGUGGCAGCAGUCGAGAAUCAUUCACAAUGGGGGAAACCCUGAUGGUGCGACGCCGCGUGGGGGAUAAGGUCUUCGGAUUGUAAACCCCUGUCAUGUGGGACAUUAAAAAGAUAGUACCACAAGAGGAAGAGACGGCUAACUCUGUGCCAGCAGCCGCGGUAAUACAGAGGUCUCAAGCGUUGUUCGGAAUCACUGGGCGUAAAGCGUGCGUAGGCGGUUUCGUAAGUCGUGUGUGAAAGGCGGGGGCUCAACCCCCGGACUGCACAUGAUACUGCGAGACUAGAGUAAUGGAGGGGGAACCGGAAUUCUCGGUGUAGCAGUGAAAUGCGUAGAUAUCGAGAGGAACACUCGUGGCGAAGGCGGGUUCCUGGACAUUAACUGACGCUGAGGCACGAAGGCCAGGGGAGCGAAAGG